Molecule: non-coding RNA, 445 nt
Organism: Anguilla anguilla (European eel)
Lineage: Eukaryota; Metazoa; Chordata; Actinopteri; Anguilliformes; Anguillidae
Source: the annotation of a RefSeq genome assembly
ACUGUUUAUUUCUUCUAUUUUCAACAAUGGUGGGUGACAGCCUUGGACAAGAUACAAUUACUUCCACUUCUAAAGAAGAGCAUGUUUUGGAUGGCAGCCGAGUUACUCUGUCAUGCAACUACUCAGCUGUUAGUGUACAAAGUCUACACUGGUAUCGCCAGCACCCUGGAUCCAAACCAGAAUUCCUCAUCCUCAUCUAUUCUGAACCAAAGACAGACAAGCGAUUCACUGUUAAACAUGAUAAAAAGAACAAAACAGUAGUUCUGGAGAUCUCCUCUGCUGAAGUGACAGACUCUGCUCUGUACUACUGUGCCCUGCAGCCCACAGUGACAGGAAACCCAUAAACUCUGUACAAAAACCUCACACUGCCUGAGACAAGGCAGCAACACAAGUACAAUUUUGAGACUUCAUCAUUGUAUGUCAAUUGUAGGUCAAUUAAUUUUAU